This 2840-nucleotide ribosomal RNA is filed under the name Shigella sonnei. Its description in RNAcentral is "bacterial LSU rRNA". It matches the Rfam family "Bacterial large subunit ribosomal RNA". The record is from RNAcentral. Lineage: Bacteria; Pseudomonadati; Pseudomonadota; Gammaproteobacteria; Enterobacterales; Enterobacteriaceae.
UUAAGCGACUAAGCGUACACGGUGGAUGCCCUGGCAGUCAGAGGCGAUGAAGGACGUGCUAAUCUGCGAUAAGCGUCGGUAAGGUGAUAUGAACCGUUAUAACCGGCGAUUUCCGAAUGGGGAAACCCAGUGUGAUUCGUCACACUAUCAUUAACUGAAUCCAUAGGUUAAUGAGGCGAACCGGGGGAACUGAAACAUCUAAGUACCCCGAGGAAAAGAAAUCAACCGAGAUUCCCCCAGUAGCGGCGAGCGAACGGGGAGCAGCCCAGAGCCUGAAUCAGUGUGUGUGUUAGUGGAAGCGUCUGGAAAGGCGCGCGAUACAGGGUGACAGCCCCGUACACAAAAAUNCCAUCCUCCAAGGCUAAAUACUCCUGACUGACCGAUAGUGAACCAGUACCGUGAGGGAAAGGCGAAAAGAACCCCGGCGAGGGGAGUGAAAAAGAACCUGAAACCGUGUACGUACAAGCAGUGGGAGCACGCUUAGGCGUGUGACUGCGUACCUUUUGUAUAAUGGGUCAGCGACUUAUAUUCUGUAGCAAGGUUAACCGAAUAGGGGAGCCGAAGGGAAACCGAGUCUUAACUGGGCGUUAAGUUGCAGGGUAUAGACCCGAAACCCGGUGAUCUAGCCAUGGGCAGGUUGAAGGUUGGGUAACACUAACUGGAGGACCGAACCGACUAAUGUUGAAAAAUUAGCGGAUGACUUGUGGCUGGGGGUGAAAGGCCAAUCAAACCGGGAGAUAGCUGGUUCUCCCCGAAAGCUAUUUAGGUAGCGCCUCGUGAAUUCAUCUCCGGGGGUAGAGCACUGUUUCGGCAAGGGGGUCAUCCCGACUUACCAACCCGAUGCAAACUGCGAAUACCGGAGAAUGUUAUCACGGGAGACACACGGCGGGUGCUAACGUCCGUCGUGAAGAGGGAAACAACCCAGACCGCCAGCUAAGGUCCCAAAGUCAUGGUUAAGUGGGAAACGAUGUGGGAAGGCCCAGACAGCCAGGAUGUUGGCUUAGAAGCAGCCAUCAUUUAAAGAAAGCGUAAUAGCUCACUGGUCGAGUCGGCCUGCGCGGAAGAUGUAACGGGGCUAAACCAUGCACCGAAGCUGCGGCAGCGACGCUUAUGCGUUGUUGGGUAGGGGAGCGUUCUGUAAGCCUGCGAAGGUGUGCUGUGAGGCAUGCUGGAGGUAUCAGAAGUGCGAAUGCUGACAUAAGUAACGAUAAAGCGGGUGAAAAGCCCGCUCGCCGGAAGACCAAGGGUUCCUGUCCAACGUUAAUCGGGGCAGGGUGAGUCGACCCCUAAGGCGAGGCCGAAAGGCGUAGUCGAUGGGAAACAGGUUAAUAUUCCUGUACUUGGUGUUACUGCGAAGGGGGGACGGAGAAGGCUAUGUUGGCCGGGCGACGGUUGUCCCGGUUUAAGCGUGUAGGCUGGUUUUCCAGGCAAAUCCGGAAAAUCAAGGCUGAGGCGUGAUGACGAGGCACUACGGUGCUGAAGCAACAAAUGCCCUGCUUCCAGGAAAAGCCUCUAAGCAUCAGGUAACAUCAAAUCGUACCCCAAACCGACACAGGUGGUCAGGUAGAGAAUACCAAGGCGCUUGAGAGAACUCGGGUGAAGGAACUAGGCAAAAUGGUGCCGUAACUUCGGGAGAAGGCACGCUGAUAUGUAGGUGAAGUCCCUUGCGGAUGGAGCUGAAAUCAGUCGAAGAUACCAGCUGGCUGCAACUGUUUAUUAAAAACACAGCACUGUGCAAACACGAAAGUGGACGUAUACGGUGUGACGCCUGCCCGGUGCCGGAAGGUUAAUUGAUGGGGUCAGCGCAAGCGAAGCUCUUGAUCGAAGCCCCGGUAAACGGCGGCCGUAACUAUAACGGUCCUAAGGUAGCGAAAUUCCUUGUCGGGUAAGUUCCGACCUGCACGAAUGGCGUAAUGAUGGCCAGGCUGUCUCCACCCGAGACUCAGUGAAAUUGAACUCGCUGUGAAGAUGCAGUGUACCCGCGGCAAGACGGAAAGACCCCGUGAACCUUUACUAUAGCUUGACACUGAACAUUGAGCCUUGAUGUGUAGGAUAGGUGGGAGGCUUUGAAGUGUGGACGCCAGUCUGCAUGGAGCCGGCCUUGAAAUACCACCCUUUAAUGUUUGAUGUUCUAACGUGGACCCGUGAUCCGGGUUGCGGACAGUGUCUGGUGGGUAGUUUGACUGGGGCGGUCUCCUCCUAAAGAGUAACGGAGGAGCACGAAGGUUGGCUAAUCCUGGUCGGACAUCAGGAGGUUAGUGCAAUGGCAUAAGCCAGCUUGACUGCGAGCGUGACGGCGCGAGCAGGUGCGAAAGCAGGUCAUAGUGAUCCGGUGGUUCUGAAUGGAAGGGCCAUCGCUCAACGGAUAAAAGGUACUCCGGGGAUAACAGGCUGAUACCGCCCAAGAGUUCAUAUCGACGGCGGUGUUUGGCACCUCGAUGUCGGCUCAUCACAUCCUGGGGCUGAAGUAGGUCCCAAGGGUAUGGCUGUUCGCCAUUUAAAGUGGUACGCGAGCUGGGUUUAGAACGUCGUGAGACAGUUCGGUCCCUAUCUGCCGUGGGCGCUGGAGAACUGAGGGGGGCUGCUCCUAGUACGAGAGGACCGGAGUGGACGCAUCACUGGUGUUCGGGUUGUCAUGCCAAUGGCACUGCCCGGUAGCUAAAUGCGGAAGAGAUAAGUGCUGAAAGCAUCUAAGCACGAAACUUGCCCCGAGAUGAGUUCUCCCUGACCCUUUAAGGGUCCUGAAGGAACGUUGAAGACGACGACGUUGAUAGGCCGGGUGUGUAAGCGCAGCGAUGCGUUGAGCUAACCGGUACUAAUGAACCGUGAGGCUUAACCUU